Molecule: long non-coding RNA, 6602 nt
Organism: Columba livia (rock pigeon)
Lineage: Eukaryota; Metazoa; Chordata; Aves; Columbiformes; Columbidae
Exons: 2
Source: RefSeq, a predicted model, not a curated record
GGCCCAUGUCACAACUGGCAAAGCUCAGCUGCUCUCCCCAGCAGCAGGAGGGCAGCCAAAGUCACUGUUCCCCAACUCGCAAGUGAGAAAAAUCCAUCUGAAACUCCAUGGGAAAGCCCAGAAAUGCAACACACUCCUGGAUGCUCUGAAGGGCUUCCCAGCCCCUCUCCUCCCCGGCUCAUACCCACACACCAUCAGCACUUUUUUGGCCAACCAAGGAGCCCAUGUGGCACUCCAGGCUUGGUGAGGAACGACGCCACCGCCGCUGGGUGUGAUGCAAAGCAUGAGCUCACCCAUCCAGAGGGCCCCGCCAGCUCCUGUGUCCUUCCCAAAAGCCACGCGGAGUGGGUGGCUCCACCAGCAAGGCUGAUUGCAGUUCCCCUGUAUAAAGCACAGCAGCCACUGGUGACAUCCCACUCCUCCCCUUGGUUUCAAGCCGAGGCACCCCGACAUGUGGCAGCUUGCUGUCGCCCAGCACCGUUUCGGGUGCUCCAGAUGACCAACUGUGUACAGCUGCAGUAUCUGAGCGACCCACAGGGCACAACGGGACUUUGUAUGACUCCUCCCUCCCAGGCAUACUCACCAGAUACCCCUGGCAUCAGGCCAAUCUCUUGCCAUUCCAGAUGCCAACAGAAGAGGAGAAACUGGCUUGUCAAACAAGAAGUGAUCAUCAAUCAGCUGCUGCUGCUCCGCAUCAGUCAUGUUCCUCAGAGCAUAGUACUUGCCCUUGAGAUCACCGUCCAGGCUACCCAGAGCUGAAAGAGAGUCACUUUUAGGAUGGAACUAGAGGUGCCAGACAUUCCCAGCACUUGAGAGACCACACACAAAGUAUAGCAAUGCCUGAUCUGCUUGGUUUGGUUCCUCCCUUGCUUUCAUCUGCAACGGCAAUACCUUUGCAGCAUUACAGAACUUAAUACAGUAUUAGAUGAUGUGUCUGCACCUUCUAGGCUUAUACAAGUAGCCUUUGUUCCCUUACAUGCAGUACAGAAUCAGUACUGCUGCUUAACUCUACCAGUGGAGUGCUUUCUUCCAAGAAGAAUCAAGGUCAUGAAUAUAACAAACAUUAUUAUUCUAGUCAAGGACUGCUACCCUGCCCUUGAGGUUCUGGAACAACUACACUCUCAGUCUUCAGAAUUGCACCUUGGGUGUAUCCUUUCCCCUCUCUUAAUGGAGUUGGGAAGCAAGAGAAAAAACCUGCAGCUGAGGAGUUCCACUGAAAACUAGGGCUUACUCUAGUCAACUGCACAUUUGGAGCAAAACUACACCUCUAAGCAAGCUGAAUAUUAAUGAAAGUCAAUUAAAAGCAGCCACAAAUUACUGCAACCAUGACUCAAGCCCUGAAGUUGCUACAUACGUGUUACAUUUCAGGUUUGAGCCACUAUGAGCCAACCUCUUUCCCCACACACAUAGAAAGAAGCUUUCAAGAUCAGCAAAGGUCACCUUAAAGCAGUCCAGCUUCCCUCUGACAUCUGCUCUUGCUCUCAGCUACAAACCGCAAUGCUGAGGCAGCUCUAAUGUAAAUUUCCAGGGAAAGCUCCAUGUUCCUACUAAGUCUUGAGGGAGGCAGCUUUUGCCAACUGCCUCCGUUUUCAAACUGCAAAGAACACAUCUUACGCAAAGGACAUAAAUGGUUUCCCAGAUGCACCCAGUUCUGACUUUACCUUCCACAGAGAGCUUUUCGAUAGCCCGCCUCUCUCCUCGACUGCAGUGUGGGGGAAGACAGAAUCCACGGAUGCUCCUACCAGUUCUGACACGGGAACUCAGCACGUAAUUGGGAUCCAGGUCAUCACCCCCCUACAAGAUUAGGCAAUCAGUGAGUACAAUCCUGUGGCCAAGAUACCAACCCUAAAUACAUGUAGCUCCCAUGCCUUUAAGUGUUCACCUUAUAAUUGAGAUAUUGACCCCCUGGCCUGUGAGCCAGUGUCUUACUUCAGGACUAUUUUCUUCAGCAUUAGCUCAAGUAUCUGUAUAACACAACCCUUGUUUUGAGGCUAAGGCUAUAGCUACUAAGUACUGCUAGAAGACAGGGAUACCACCAGACCAUCAGUUUUAUGUCCAUUUCACACAACAGUCUGGGCUUCUGUUACUCCUUCAGAUCUGCAGUUUAUAGGUAUCAAAAUGAAGCAAACCCUUGCUGUUUAGGUAGGUGUUUACUCUUGCAAAUGAGAAUUAUUCACUAUUGUCAUCCAAAGUCUCAUAUUUUCAAUAUGACCUAUGGCUAGCCAAUCAACAUGGCAUCAGGAAUUCCUAGGAAUUCUGCAGUAACAUUUGAAAUCCAUAAAAUGGGCAGAAAUCCUUCUUCUACCCAUAACAAUGCCUACUGUUGUAUAGUAUGAGACCACCAGGUAAUACUUAAGAUCCAAGAUCAGAUAACAGAAAGCAUUAAGUUUGAUGGCAGUCCUUGACUCCUAGGACAGCAUUGUUUAGCUUUACUACUACAGCCCACAAUUCAUGGAAAUACAUGUUGAACAUGUUUGGCAUGACCUACACUGCAGCAGCACGUGGAGCAAGCUCCUGCUGCAUGCCAGCUGCCUGGUUCUGCCCAGCCCGACAUCCCACAGCAGCAAGCUCUGAGGUCUGAUUGCACAGACACACAGCCUGUGGGUCUGUGCUGGUUGAAAGUGAGGAGGCAGAGCCUCAGCAAUCAGUUUAAACAGCCGCCAACAACUUUACCCAGUCCUCAGAGCAGUAGGCAUCAGUAAUUGAUCAAGUUUAUACCUGCAGGUUAUCAGCAUUCAAGUCAGUCUUGUGCUGAUCAGUCGGUUUGUAGCCACCAUGUCUGUCUUCAAUAACUGGAUCAAAGAGUUCCUUAAACACCUCAUAGGAUUCUUCAUCACCAGCUACGCAUCCUACUGUCAUUAUGAAGGGAUGGCCUGGAGUGGUAAUAAAGGCAGAAGAGCUAAGUUUGGGUGAUGUCUGGCUGUACUCCAGUGCAGCACUAACCAGGCAAGUUCUUUAGUGGUAGGUCUAGUCACUUAGAAACGCAUUUUACAUAAAAACAUUUGGAGAGACCCUACGUUUUACACUUCAUCCAGUUAGACAAAUGCAGUGCCAUGGAAACCCAUAAAUGUUGCCAUUAAACCACACUCAUUUGUCAAGCUUAGUUUAGGACAAAUUUGCACAGCACAUCCAAUUUCACUAGCUAAUUUAGACCACCAGAUAGAACUUUCUCUAAACAAUCAUGCUUUGCUGUAAGCAAGCAUACUUUGCUUUUUGUUCCUUCUGCUACAGACAGAGCUGCACUUCUGUAGGCUACUCAUAAAUACCACCUCCACAAGAUUAGCUUUAAGUCACCAUAUCCAAAAGCACCAGUUACUUCAGCUGGCUCACACGGAAUAUUCUCAACGCAUUUUACCCGGAUUAUCAACCCCAGUCUGAAUGACAUCAUCCAGGGUGAAGCCACUGGGCGUGACUCUGUCUCUCAGUUUCUUGUAUAAAUCCAGGGUUAGAACUUUGGCCAUGUGGUUGUUGUGGGCGCUCAGGUCCGGGUACUCCUCAUCAGGAGGCAGUCUCUGAUUAUUUAGUUGGGCCAUUUUGAUAUUGCUAGAGUAAAAAUAAAUACUGUAAUGUUAACAUGUAAAUACAUCUGCUCCCCCUUGUUUCAUAGAAGUGCUAGAGAACACAACAUAACCAGUUUGGAAUAGGAAUAGACCAGAACAGCCAGGUAAGCCCACAUUCUCCCCCACACACUUGUGUUAUAAUUAGAAUUCUUUUUUUUUUUUUUUUGUUCAGAUUGAAAGUAUUUAGCAGAGCAGUUACAUAAUUGAAGUGUCUGGGAAUUGAUAUGUCAGAUCGCAGCAAGGAACAUGGCUUGAUAGAACAAGGCCUCUUUUAACAGAGCCAUGCGUUUAGAGCCGUCUCCCAACGCUUUACAAGAUUUGCCUCAGCAGCUCAAGAGCCUUGGGUGCUGUUGUCAAGAAGCACUUCCAUUAAGAAGGGGGAACAGAUCAUUAUGCAGAUCUAACAGUCCCCAGCCGUUACCUGGGUUGUCAACCCCAGUCUGGAUAACAUCAUCCAGGGUAAAUCCACUGGGAGUCUGUUUAUCCCUCAACUUCUUGUACAGGUCCAGGGUCAGCACUUUAGCCAUGUGAUUGUUGUGAGUGCUCAGGUCAGGGAACUCAUCAGCAGCAGAGUACUUCAUCUUCAGGAGGUUGUGGCUGUUUGAGAAGGGCAUGUUUGACCCUACGCAGUCACUAGGGGAGAAAGAGGGGAAGCCCAUCACUGGGGGCUCGGCAGGCUGCUGAACCGCCCGCCCUGGGAGCCUGGCACCCAGGCAAGGUCACCUUGGCUGUCGUCCCACUCGUGCCUUCUACACCUUCGUUACUUCACCACCUUCCACAAAGAGCCGGGAAAGAGGAAAGAAAAAAGUUCUUCACCUCCACCAGCCUUGCCCCGUCCUUAAACAUCCCAGCCGAAAGGGCAGGGGUUCUCCCCACUCCGCCGGGGCACCGCGCGGGUGAAGGGAAGCGCCCAAGGUCGCACGGAGCGGCUGUGGCAGCACCGGGCAGACCCCGCCGGGGCUCUGGGGAUCCGGGCCGCCGGGGGCCGGGGGCGCUCGGCCGCGCUGGGAUCCCGGGCCGGGCGGCAGGUGAGCAGGGCGGCAUCGCGAUGCCCUCGGUGGGCGUGCGCGCCUCCUCCCGCCGCUGCCAGGCAGAGCGGGCCCCGCCGCGCCCCGACCCGAGCAGCGAUAACGGCCGUUGCUCUCCGCGCCCGCGGAGCCGCGGCUGCUGCCCGAGGUGUGCGCGGAGCGGUGGGAAGCAUCCGACAAGCCAUUAUACAACAGACGGCUCCCUCGGGGGACCUGGCUGGGGCGAGCAUAUGUAACUACCCUGCUAAAUACCGGGUUAAUCUGGUUUUAGAGCGGGGGCCACUCCAGCCGGGGACAAGCCCGAGAAGCACCUGCGCCGCGGCCCCCGCGCCGGCUGCGCACCGGGCGCCCCUGACCCCCGCUGCCCCCCGCCGCACCCACAGCCCCGCUCCCCCAUCCUCAGCCACAACGGCUCCUCCCCACUCAGUAGAAAAGAAAAAGGGGAAAAAAAAUAAAUUUAAAAAAAAAAAAAAUUAAAUCCUAUUUUAAAGCUGCAGGAUGGCUCGGCUGCCCCGGGACUUACCGAGGGCUCCACAGCCAAAGCAACGACCUCCGCACCCGCUCAACCGCCCCGCUACUGCCCUCGCCGGAGUGGAGCCCCGGCGCAACUGCCGCGCCUCUCUUAUAUAGAACGCGAGCCGCCGCCCCAUUGGCCGCUAUUUAUAGCCCAUUCAUUCCAUUGGCCCAGGCGCAGGCGGGCGGUGCGAGCGCCCUGUCGCGGGCCGGGCGCAGGCUUGCCGCCAUUUUGCGUGGCCUCGGGGAGGCAGUGGGGCGGUGGGAUAGACGGGUAGUGCUGGGGCCGCUCCCGCUGCGGAGGGGCCGACGAUGGCCUUGGUGCCAUCAUUAAACACGUAAACGCGUGGGGAAAUCCAUCCCCGCGUUUCAUCCACCAAGGGUUGCAUGCAGGUGGCGGUUCCUGUGCACACCAAGACAGGCAUAUGGGCUGUUUCCUUUGAGACUUUGCACCUUGGCUGAGGGUUCAACAACGGAUGUCAAAACCUGUCAUCCUAAAAAACGGGCUUUGUGGUGCCGGGACUGGCAUUCUGCGGGCCAUGUGCAUCAGUGAGCUGGCUUGGCAGGAGCCCCGGUCUGGCUGUGGGAGCAGUGGCCUGAUUGCGCUCAGGAGGGGCUGCACCAGCUCGUGCCUCACUCCUGCCUGCGAGGCCGUGGGCUCAUUUUACAGUUCAACUUGAAUCUAAGUGGGGUGGUUGUGUAAAGCACAGUGAGGCGCCUGCUCUUGCCACGUGCCAAAAAAAACAACAAACCACUUCAGCUUUAUUGGUGUGUGGCUGUUCUCCUGCUGAAGACAGGAUGCUGGGAUUUGACCCAUCUAAAGCUCACCUGAAAUUCAUUAAAAUAGUGACUUCCACUGAUCUCUUUGUAGGAAUGAGCUGGGUUUGUCCCAAAGCUAAGAUGCAGCUGAGAAUCCCAUUGUUUGCAGAAAUAAAUAUAUUAACAACGCGAACGACGAUCUUGAUCUCACUUUCACCUUUACAUAAUAGUUUCUUUAUCUCUCCCUGACGUGCAUUUCCCACAAGAGAACCCACAUUCAUUCUCCUGUCCAAACAGAGCGUACUUACCCCGUGCAGGCGUAUCUGAGCCACAGAGUUGCUUUGUUUGACACGCGUUGUGAGUGUCGGGAGAGAUCAGCUAAAACUCUUUCCCCACCACAAUUCUUUCAGCACCACAACCAGUACCCUCACCCCAACGACGAGAGGCACGUGCACAUCACAGAACUGCUUAGGAUUAAAAUAAUAAUAAUAUAGAGGAAAUCAUUACAAAAUAAAACACACAGACUGCUUCAGAUAAACAUGUGUUGUGUUUGGCUGCCAUCCAGGUUUCCAAGUUAUUCCAGGUCUGAUUGAUGGACUGAGAUGCUGGGUACACAGAUCUCCGGUACAAGCCAAGGGCUCGGUGUCUGGUCUCCUACCUCCCGGAUCAAAGAACAAAUCCUCUCUCUAGGUCUCCUCUGCCUUUUUAACCUCACAGAAUCUUCCCCGAUGUUUUACUAGUU